Molecule: long non-coding RNA, 673 nt
Filed under: Equus caballus (horse)
Lineage: Eukaryota; Metazoa; Chordata; Mammalia; Perissodactyla; Equidae
Description: lncRNA (ENSECAG00000051452.1)
Source: RNAcentral
GAAUGAUGAAGUCAUCGUUUCGGAUACAGGCAACAAAGUUUCAUUGUCUUUUGAUGCAAGCCCACACAUUCCAGGCACAGAUGUGCACAGUGGGGCAACUACUGAAAAGCAGACAAGAAGCCACUCUGUCACCAGCAUUGGGCCUGGCGCCAGGCGUCUUCCUUUCUUCGAACCCAUGACGGGGCUGAGGCCCUCAGAAGUGAGUCAUGGAGGAACGCAGGCAUCUGCCCACGGAGGGAGACCCAUUUACUCAGGGAAAAUAUCUGCAGGCAGUCUUUGUGCUUUGCUGUGCCAGAAGCUGUUAAGCCUGAUUCACACCACUGCCACUGUGGGACUGAACCCCCGCUGACGACAAAAAGAGCACAGGGAAGAAGCGAAAAUAGCUUAUUUUCAAUGACUUGCUGAAAACUCCCAGAUGUGAGCUGCGAUGGCCGUGUGGUGCACACAUUUGGGCUCUGAGUAUGGAUGUUCUCUCUAAAUAUCCCCCUGCUGCUCAGCAAAUUGAGGGAUCUGAAUCUGUGCGUCCAGGAAAUGUUUUAUACUCAGAAGAAGAGGAAAUGAACCAAAAAUAGGGUCAAAUGCAGUUGAAUACCAGCAAUUUCCUAUAAACUACCUACUAGAUUAACUGUGCAAACAAGAUUACAACUUUCUAAAGAACCAAAGUACUUCCACU